AUAAGAGACGCGGGUUCGAUCUUCUUGGGAAGAUCUCGUGAAAGAGGGCAUGGCCACCCACUCCAGUAUUCUUGCCUGGAGAAUCCCAUGGACAGAGGAGCUUGGCGGACUACGGUCCAUGGGGUCACACAGAGUCAGACACGAUGGAAGCAACGCAGCACACAUGCCCGCAAGAUGACAAUAAAUAAGGCAGUUCUGUUUCCAGGACACCCAAUUUUUUAGCAUCUCAGGAAGUGUCAGAAGAUUUUCAAAAAGGGUUGUUGAAAGGCGGUGCAGGACCCAGAGGGAGAACAGACGAAAGCUGAAUUUCGCUGACGUGGAGAUGACCUGGGAGCCGAAGAUCUGACUUCGGUUCCUGGUUUUUGCCCCUUCCCACCUCUUGGGCUUGACUCUUUUCUUUCUCUUGUCCUCUGAGGCCUCAGUUUCCCCGCCUGAGAUGUGCAGCCAGAACAAUUUGCUAAUCCACCGCCCAUGGAUGCGCGGAAAAAAUAUUUUGAAUUCCCACCAUCUUUUUUUCCUUUGAAUGAACUUGUUUAUCCGCUGGUCAGGGUCAGAGAGAGUCGAGGAGGAGGAGCAGCGAGGGAGUGCCAUCCAGCUAAGCUGACAUGACGCUUUGGAAGGUCAGAGCCCACGGACCCCUGGACAGAGGGCCGUGUUGUCGGGCUUCGGCGCGCCCUUCUGGAAGCCAGUGGCCGGGUCUGACGCAAGCGUGCCAGGAACUCCUGGGCCUGAAGGUCUGCAAACUGAACGCCUAUUUCUGUGACCCUUCGCGGGACUCACGGCCCUGGCUCCGCUGCCCAGCCCUCAGUGAACCGAGCAGAUGGUCACAAAAACCAGCGGUAGCCCAGUCAUCCUGACAGCGUCUGGGGUCCCUCCCGACACCAACCCUCAGCUCUCCUGCCUCCCAGACCUUGGAGCAUCUCACUCUGCUCCGGGUGGUCUUGGAAUCAGUUGCUGAGGGGUGAACGCUCAUGAGCCCAUUUCAGAGUUGGUGAAACUGAGGUCCAAGCAGGACAGACAGUGUGACGCCUUCCUUAAGCCCAGUUCCCAGCACUAGAGAACACAUUCAUUCAUUUUGCAAAUAUUUGUGAGUUCUUGCCAGGCACAGGGCUGGAUGAUGCAGAUGUCAUGAGAUGGGGUGCGGGGAGGAUGUCUGGGGAGGUUGUCAUUCCUUUGUCUGGCUCGCGGUCCAGGGGUGGAGACACAUGUGCGGCAAAAUCUCCAGAGUAAAAUUAAACUGGAAACUGGGAUAAGGACUGCAACGGGGGGCGAAAGAGAGCUUGGAACAGCCCGUGUGGUCUGGGGAGGUCCUGUGGGCUUCCCUGAGCUUCCUCAGAUUAGUGCUUCUGAUAAUCAGGCUGAAAUCUGAUCAUGGGGAGAGGGCUAGGGCUGAGAACUUUCCAGACAGAGGGAACGCCAUGUUCAGAGGCUGGCAUGUGGACCAAGCAGGGUAAGACAGAUCACAGGAAGAAAGUCCACGUGGCUGGAGCCAUGGAGAGUUCGGGCAGGGGCAUGCUGUGGUGGAGGGGGCUGGCCAUCCCCUUCCAGGAGGUCUCUGGUCCACAGCCUGGGGGCCAGAGGAGGCAUGGGAGGGGUUCAUCAGGGCUGAGACGUGACUGAGCGUGUGUUUUGAAAACAUCACACAUAUUGCUGAGUGUGCAGUGGCUGAAGGGGGCUGGCAAGUUAAGGCUACUGCCAGCCUCCAGGCAAGAGAUGAGGGCAGUUGGCACCAGGGAGGCAAAUGGGGGAGGAGAAGACAGAUUCGAGAGAGCUUUUGGCAGGAAAACCUCUAGGACCUGCUGGGUGGUGGGGAGAUGCGGGUAACAGAGAGAAGGGUACAGGGGAGCUGGAUCACUGCAAUGGGGUCCCUGCGAGAGGGGGUGGAGGCGGGGGAAGGAUGAGGAAGAAUCAGCAGCCACGGAAAGCUCUUGGAGGCUGACUCAUCCACACCUGUCAACUGACAGAUGGGGAAACUGAGGUGCUCAAAAGUAACAUGCCUUUUCCAAGAGAACACGGGGAGGCCAUGGCCCAGCCUGGACCAGCAUUCAGGUCGCCCUAUAGUCCAGCCAGGGCAGAAAUUGCAGUCAUUCAUUCCUUCAGUCACAAUUUUUACAGAUCCCAUGGAAAUGAAUACAUCCCUGUUCUUGCCCUCAACGAGUUCUUGGUGAAGGAGACAGACACACAGACCUAUCAUGAGAACCCAGGGUUGCAAUAACUGAUGGAUACACUGUCUUCUAUGGGCCUCCCAGGAAGCUUAGCAGUAAAGAGUCUGACUGCCAGUGCUGGAAAUGCAGAAGACACAGGUGCACCACCAUACGCUCUGAGAUGGGAUGCUCAAUUCUGCUAAAUGGUCCUCGAGCACAUCAUGCUUUUUCAUGGAUUCCCUGCCUUUCCUCCUACCCCAUCUCCUCUGCCCAAAAGGCUCUUCCUCCAGUUAGGGCCCUCUAAUGAACUCCUGUUCAUACUGCAAAACCCAACCUGCACAGUCCUUCUGCAAAAUUUUCCCCAAACUCAGCUCAAACACUUUUCCUAUAUGCUGAAAUAAUUUAACGGCAUGUCAGGUCACCCUCCAUUUCCGCUCCUCCCCAGCCACCACGAGACUAUGAAGUCCUCCAGAGCAUGCUCGGUAAAACUCAACAAGGUAAAUGAGUGAGUGAGUGAUCAGGGUGGGUGCCUUUCCAACAAGGUAGAAUGGUUCUGUGCAAAAACCAAGGUCGCUGGAAUCAACAGAUCCCAGGUGCAGAUGCAGAGGAUUGUUACUCCAUGGAAUUGGGCUAGUUCCAUUGUCUCACGGGUCUUAACUUUUCCCAGCUAUAAAACAAGACCAAGAGUGAUCUUGGCAGGACAUACUAUCUCCAGAGAAAGGGCUCCCUCCCUUCCCUCUGCAGCUCUCCUCUUCUGGAAGUGGGGUGAGGGCUGCCUCCUUCUUCCUGGCACCUUUUCCAGGAGUGGGAGGUUGCACGGAGGUGGGAACUGGGGGAGGCUGGAGCUCGGGUUUCUCCGAAGGCAUUUCUGUCUCUCUAGGGAGUCUCCAUGAUUGACUUGGUAAAAUCAUCAUCGCCAUCAGCAUUCUCACCCUAACUCCUGUUGGACGCCAGAGAGGACUUUCUGCUCAGUAUCUCCAGCCGUCCUGCCAGGCAGAGGUAUUAUCUGCGUUUCAGAAUAAAGACACCGAGGUGCAGGGACAGUGCAGGAUCUGGUGUAGCGGCCUAUCCAGUCAAGAAGGUUGGAGGGAGCCAUAAACCAGGAUUUUUCCAAUUCCGAUCUGAGAACGGGCUAUAUGCCUUGGAGGAAGGAAGGAUUUCUGCUCCUGGGAGAAUCUAGAAGGUUCCCAACCCCUGGCAAGUGAGCUGAGCUUGAAGGAAAAGAUUUCAGUACCUUGUAAGUGAUUCCCACGGACAUAUAUUGUUGUUGUUGUUCAAUCUCUAAGUCCUGUCCGACUCUGCGAACCCAUGGACUGCAGUACUCCAGGCUUCCCUGUCCUUCGCUAUCUCCUGGAGUUUGCUCAAGCUCAAGUCUAUUGAAUCCAUUUCCAGGAGGAGAAGAUAUCAGGGAGGGCCUUUUAGGCAGCCAGGGACAAGGGGUGUCUUGGAUGCAGCUUGGUGGGGGUGACCAGAGGAAAGGGUGUGAGGAGAACAGAGCUGGGAGUGAGGGGCAACUCAGGAAAGUUCUGGAGUUUGGCUUUCAUCCUAGGAGCAAGGGGGCACCUUGCAUCGAACACAGUUUCUCUGCCAGGAGCCCCCCAGCAAGGGGGUGGCUGCCAGCCUGAGAAAUCUUCCCGAGUGUUCUCGGCCGGGAGAACGGAGCUCCUGCCGCCGUGAGGACGCUGCUAUUUUAAGCCACCUGCCAACAGCCCGCCUGCCUCCCCCGCUGCCGCCUUGACAUGCGGCUUCUGACAGCGAACCCCGUGUCGCCCCAGCAGACAGGCCUAGGCGGCUAAAUGCAGAUGCACUCCUGGGCAGGUGACAGCUGUGGGGACCUUGAGCGGCUUCCCACCUAGAGUCCAGCAUCCUUGACCACUAGCCUGGGGUGGGGGGGGUUGGUGGUGCUGAGGGGUACCCACGUCCUGCCCUGCUCAGACAGCUCCGACCAACCUGGGUACUAACCUCCAGUCUCAUGUAUGUGGGAAGACAUCUCUCUUAGAGCCUCGGUUGUUCCUCAUCUGUAAAAUGGGUAUAAUGAUGAAAUAUUAUCCUCACAGGAUGCUGGGGGAGCUCUUCAGAUGAUCAGAUAUGUAAGGGACCAGCUCGGUGCUUGGCACAGGUUAGGAGGUGAAAACUUCCGUGUGUGUGUGUGUUAGGUCGCUUCAGUUACGUCUGACUCUUUGCGACCCUAUGGAUUGUAACUGGCCAGGCUCCUGUGUCCAUGAGAUUCUCCAGGCAAGAAUACUAGAGGGGGUUGCCAUGCCCUCCUCCAGGGGAUCUUCCCAACCCAGGAAUCAAACCCGUGUCUCCUGCAUUGGCAGGCGGGUUCUUUACCACUAACAGCAUCUGGGAAGCCCGAAAACACCUAUACCAACCCCCAUCACUCCCCAUCCCCCUUUCUCCGUCUUAUUCCUCCCCAACUGACGUUGUGUUGGAUGUUCACUGGACCGCGACGGCAAAGAUUUUGGAUCCACAGCCUCUAACCAUGCCUGACACAUAGUAGGUGCUCAUAAAUAAACCCUCCAUGAAAGGAAUGGUUCUCGUUCAAUAGAGUCAGUUCUCCAAGCCUUCGCUUCUCAUCUGGAAGGCACGCUGGAAGGCUGUUGGCAGGUGGCGUUGCAUGGGUGAGCGUCCAUUCACCCAGCCAUUCACCUGUGAAUCUCUGAGCCCCUACAAUGCACCAGGCACUGUGCGCAGCUCCAAGGACCAAAGCUGUGCAAGUGUGAAUGGCCCACGACCUCCGGACUGGGUAUCUUCAUCUGGGUAAGUAGUAAAUUCCUAGUUCUCAAAGUGGACCAUAUCCGCGAUUAUUUGACAUCCAAGCAGUGGAUCUGUACCCUGUCUCAUCACCCUUCAUGAAAUAAUAGCUGGCCUUACUUCUGUUGUCUGCCAUCACCGGAUCUAGUUGGGGAAGAAGCGGGGAUAAAGGAGUAUGGUGGUCCCUAGCCAAGCAUUGUGAGAGGAGCGUUAGAUGGUGGAGAGUCAGCUGUGCUUCCAGUGCCCACGGUUUCUGAAGGUGCCUGGGCCCACCUGGCCAGGUGGCAGGGGGUCAGCAAUUCCACCAGCAGGUUUCGGAACACGUCACCCAUUGGAAGGGGCCAG
Long non-coding RNA from Bubalus bubalis (water buffalo), 5246 nucleotides. RefSeq lists it as uncharacterized. The record is from RefSeq and is a predicted model, not a curated record. NCBI's taxonomy places the organism in Eukaryota, Metazoa, Chordata, Mammalia, Artiodactyla, Bovidae. The transcript is spliced from 5 exons.